AACUAACGACCAUACGCGCCAUAAUGCACCCGAAACCUUCAGAACUCGGAAGUCAAGCUGGUGUCGGCCUGCCUAGUACUGCGGAGGGGGACCACGCGGGAACAUCAGGUGUUGUUAGUU
This 120-nucleotide ribosomal RNA is filed under the name Breviata anathema. Lineage: Eukaryota; Breviatea. The record is from RNAcentral.